RNAcentral lists this ribosomal RNA (445 nucleotides) under uncultured bacterium. RNAcentral describes it as "bacterial SSU rRNA". It matches the Rfam family "Bacterial small subunit ribosomal RNA", at positions 354 to 796 of the family's 1533-position model. The record is from RNAcentral.
GUAGGGAAUAUUGGGCAAUGGACGCAAGUCUGACCCAGCCAUGCCGCGUGCAGGAAGACAGCCUUAUGGGUCGUAAACUGCUUUUAUACGGGAAGAAACCCCUGGUCGUGACCGGGGUCGACGGUACCGUAAGAAUAAGGAUCGGCUAACUCCGUGCCAGCAGCCGCGGUAAUACGGAGGAUCCAAGCGUUAUCCGGAUUUAUUGGGUUUAAAGGGUGCGUAGGCGGGUUGAUAAGUCAGUGGUGAAAGCCUGCAGCUUAACUGCAGAAUUGCCAUUGAUACUAUCAGUCUUGAGUACAGUUGGAGUGGGCGGAAUUUGUCAUGUAGCGGUGAAAUGCUUAGAUAUGACAAAGAACACCUAUCGCGAAGGCAGUUCACUAAACUGUAACUGACGCUGAGGCACGAAAGCGUGGGGAUCAAACAGGAUUAGAAACCCCAGUAGUCC